RNAcentral lists this ribosomal RNA (403 nucleotides) under uncultured bacterium. Its description in RNAcentral is "partial 16S ribosomal RNA". It matches the Rfam family "Bacterial small subunit ribosomal RNA", at positions 28 to 526 of the family's 1533-position model. The record is from RNAcentral.
GACGAACGCUGGCGGCGUGCCUAAUACAUGCAAGUCGAACGCAGUGGGGACGGGUGAGUAACACGUGGGUAACCUCCCGUCAGAGGGGAGAACACUUGGAAACAAGUGCUAAACUGAUACUGAGGGAGGGACUCGCGGGGCAUUAGCUAGUUGGUGAGGUAACGGCUCACCAAGGCUACGAUCCAUAGCCGGCCUGAGAGGGUGAUCGGCCACACUGGAACUGAGACACGGCCCAGACUCCUACGGGAGGCAGCAGUAGGGAAUCUUGGGCAAUGGGCGAAAGCCUGACCGAGCAACGCCGCGUGAGUGAAGAAGGCUUUCGGAUCGUAAAACUCUGUUGUCAGGGAAGCGGUAUCUACCCAGGAAGCCACGGCUAACUACGUGCCAGCAGCCGCGGUAAUUC